RNAcentral lists this transfer RNA (71 nucleotides) under Parascombrops philippinensis (sharptooth seabass). Its description in RNAcentral is "tRNA-Val". It matches the Rfam family "tRNA". From Rfam's summary of the family: Transfer RNA (tRNA) molecules are approximately 80 nucleotides in length. Their secondary structure includes four short double-helical elements and three loops (D, anti-codon, and T loops). Lineage: Eukaryota; Metazoa; Chordata; Actinopteri; Acropomatiformes; Acropomatidae. The record is from RNAcentral.
CAGAGUAUAGCUGAGUAGAAAAGCAUCUCCCUUACACUGAGAAGACACUCGUGCAAACCGAGUUACCCUGA